GCUGUGAUGGCCGAGAGGUUAAGGCGUUGGACUUGAAAUCCAAUGGGGUCUCCCCGUGCAGGUUCGAACCCUGCUCGCAGCG
RNAcentral lists this transfer RNA (82 nucleotides) under Salmo salar (Atlantic salmon). It matches the Rfam family "tRNA". Rfam says of the family: Transfer RNA (tRNA) molecules are approximately 80 nucleotides in length. Their secondary structure includes four short double-helical elements and three loops (D, anti-codon, and T loops). The record is from Rfam by way of RNAcentral. Lineage: Eukaryota; Metazoa; Chordata; Actinopteri; Salmoniformes; Salmonidae.